Molecule: ribosomal RNA, 598 nt
Filed under: Cicindela lusitanica
Lineage: Eukaryota; Metazoa; Arthropoda; Insecta; Coleoptera; Carabidae
Also listed under: 1 other name
Description: partial 16S ribosomal RNA
Rfam family: Bacterial large subunit ribosomal RNA
Source: RNAcentral
UGCCCAAUGAGGAAUUAAAUGGCCGCAGUAUUUUGACUGUGCAAAGGUAGCAUAAUUAUUAGUUUUUUAAUUGAAAGCUUGUAUGAAGGGUUGGACGAGAUAAAAUCUGUCUUUAUUUAAAUUACAAUAGAAUUUAACUUUUAAGUCAAAAGGCUUAAAUGUAUAUAAAAGACGAGAAGACCCUAUAGAUCUUUAUUUAAUUAAUAUUUUGAUAAUUUAAGAUUAUUUUAGUUUAAAGUUUUAAUUAAAUUUUAUUGGGGUAAUAUAGAGAUUAAAUAAAUUCUUUUUAUUUAUUACAUUGAUUUAUGAAUAUAUGAUCCAAUAUUAUUGAUUAUAAGAUUAAGUUACCUUAGGGAUAACAGCGUAAUUUUUUUGGAGAGCUCAUAUCGAUAAAAAAGUUUGCGACCUCGAUGUUGGAUUAAAAAUUAGCUUGGGUGCAGAAGCUCAAGAUUUUGGUCUGUUCGACCAUUAAAUUUUUACAUGAUCUGAGUUCAGACCGGCGUAAGCCAGGUCGGUUUCUAUCUUUAUUUAUCUAAAAUAUUUUAGUACGAAAGGACCAAAUAUUUAAUAUAAUUAUAUUUCUUUUUUGAAUAAUAUU